AGUGGGAUAACUGGGUCAAAUGGUGGUUUCAUUCAGGUUUUCUGAGGAAUCUACAUACUGUUUUCCAGAGUGGUUACACCAAUUUGCAGCCCUACCGGUAAU
Molecule: microRNA precursor, 102 nt
Filed under: Marmota monax (woodchuck)
Lineage: Eukaryota; Metazoa; Chordata; Mammalia; Rodentia; Sciuridae
Source: RNAcentral